Molecule: unclassified non-coding RNA, 253 nt
Filed under: uncultured Acidobacteriota bacterium
Lineage: Bacteria; Pseudomonadati; Acidobacteriota
Description: uncultured Acidobacteria bacterium contains 16S-23S intergenic spacer region
Rfam family: Bacterial small subunit ribosomal RNA
Source: RNAcentral
UACGUAGGUGGCAAGCGUUGUUCGGAAUUACUGGGCGUAAAGGGCGCGUAGGCGGCUCGCUAAGUCGGGUGUGAAAACUCUGGGCUCAACCCAGAGCCUGCAUUCGAAACUGACGGGCUAGAGUUCUGGAGGGGAAAGCGGAAUUCCUGGUGUAGCAGUGAAAUGCGUAGAUAUCAGGAGGAACACCGGUGGCGAAGGCGGCUUUCUGGACAGAAACUGACGCUGAGGCGCGAAAGCUAGGGGAGCAAACAGG